GGGGCGUGGACCGACGCGGA
Molecule: non-coding RNA, 20 nt
Filed under: Arabidopsis thaliana (thale cress)
Lineage: Eukaryota; Viridiplantae; Streptophyta; Magnoliopsida; Brassicales; Brassicaceae
Source: RNAcentral